GGAGGGGGGGUUUUAAGUGUGUUUCACAGUUUGAAUUAAGUGAAAUUUGAGUUCCAUCAAGUCUUAAACUUAAAAACUCUAGUUUUCUCUCAUUUCUCAUUAGCCUUUCUCUCACCCAACUCAUAUCCUCUCUUCCUCUCAAAGUGGUCAGACUACUCUUGCUCUCCUAGGACAACCAUUAUAUUCUCAUUUCUUGCUUUUGGAGACUUCAAGACCAAGGGCUUCUACCUUCCUUCAUGACCUUGAUUUCCUUCCACUCAUUCAAAGCUAAGCUUCUUCUUUUCAUUUUAUUUUGCAUUGGGGCUACAAGAAAAUGUCUUCUCUUCUUCUCCAUCUCAUUUUUGUUUCUUUUCUUACAACGUUAAACGACAUUUAAACAUAAUAAUGGAUAUUGUAUGGAAAAAAAUCAUGAGUGCAAUGGUAUAUAUAUAAUAACAUCUUAGAAAUAUCCAAUUAUUAUUUUUCUCUGUUUUAUAUUUCAUUUGUUUAUCAUUUUAUAUUUCAAUAAAUGGCAAUUUAUACACAGAAAAGGAAUAGAUGUUAAUGCAUAUCAUUAAUAUUAUUCUGAUCAUAUAUACUUUAUUAAUACACCAAUAUAUUACUAAUUACAAUAAGUAUAUUUAAUUGGAAAUUAAACUUUUUUAC
RNAcentral lists this long non-coding RNA (645 nucleotides) under Glycine max (soybean). RNAcentral describes it as "long non-coding RNA (GMAX_LNC000612)". The record is from RNAcentral. Lineage: Eukaryota; Viridiplantae; Streptophyta; Magnoliopsida; Fabales; Fabaceae.